UAGACUUCAAAUCAGGUGGGACUACCCCGCUGAACUUAAGCAUAUCAAUAAGCGGAGGAAAAGAAAUAACUAUGAUUCCCCUUAGUAACGGCGAGUGAACAGGGAAAAGCCCAAAUUUGUAAUCUGGCCCUUUUUACAAGUGUCCGAGUUGUA
Molecule: ribosomal RNA, 153 nt
Filed under: Melampsora epitea
Lineage: Eukaryota; Fungi; Basidiomycota; Pucciniomycetes; Pucciniales; Melampsoraceae
Description: partial 28S ribosomal RNA
Rfam family: Eukaryotic large subunit ribosomal RNA
Source: RNAcentral